GAAAAGAACUUUGGAGAGAGAGUUAAAGAGUACGUGAAACCGUAUAGGGGUUAAGCCCGUUGAAUCUAAUCUAUCCGAUGGAUGAAAUUCAAUAUUAAACUUAAUCGUUUAGUAUGCACUUUUCAUCUAGUAGGACACUGCAAUCCGUUAGAUUAAAUAUAUGCUUUUUUGCUAUAUUUGAGUCUAUCUCUAAAAUUCGCCAUGGAUUGUUUAUCAUAAAUAUCAUUAUAUGUUAUUUUGAUAAAUCCAUAUAGAAUUUUGAUAGUAUUCGACUGACGGAUUUAAAACAAUCAUAUAACAUGCAUAUGUAAUUAUUAAUUUAAUUUAUAUGUAUUUGAUUGGCAGUGCACUCAAAGAUUUAGAUACCUUCGGGGCCCGUCUUGAAACACGGA
This 392-nucleotide ribosomal RNA is filed under the name Phlebotomus duboscqi. Its description in RNAcentral is "eukaryotic LSU rRNA". It matches the Rfam family "Eukaryotic large subunit ribosomal RNA", at positions 366 to 665 of the family's 3401-position model. Lineage: Eukaryota; Metazoa; Arthropoda; Insecta; Diptera; Psychodidae. The record is from RNAcentral.